UGGCCAUGGACUCAUUGUGUUGAGAUGAAGGUAAAUCCAGGCAGUUUCUUUUUUUAGAUGCAAUUGUGUUUCUGGAAAAGGCUGCACAUCACAUAAUAGGAAAUCCUGAGAGGGUGAAGACUGUUUCCUGCCAGUUGAAGCAUUGUUGUCUUUGGCUGUUCUGACAAUAUUUGGGAAUCCCUCAUUCUCAGAUGACCUGAUUCUGCUGUUUUCUCAUGCUGAUCCUACCUGCAACAUACUCUUCUGGGGAGCUUUUUGUAAAGAAGCUUUUAAAGUAGAACAAGCAGAUUCAAGAAAACUGCCAUCUGGUUUCCACGCUGCAGAUGCCCACAUGAGCCUUGAAAAAUCUAGCUGGGGAGGAGGUGGAAGAUCCUGUGGGCUGGCUGGUAAAGGAAGAAAUGA
RNAcentral lists this long non-coding RNA (402 nucleotides) under Homo sapiens (human). RNAcentral's name for it is "HSALNT0062110". Lineage: Eukaryota; Metazoa; Chordata; Mammalia; Primates; Hominidae. The record is from RNAcentral.